RNAcentral lists this ribosomal RNA (264 nucleotides) under uncultured bacterium. Its description in RNAcentral is "partial 16S ribosomal RNA". It matches the Rfam family "Bacterial small subunit ribosomal RNA", at positions 91 to 354 of the family's 1533-position model. The record is from RNAcentral.
UUUAGUGGCGGACGGGUGAGUAACACGUGAGCAACCUGCCUUCGAGAGGGGAAUAACGGCUGGAAACGGUCGCUAAUACCGCAUAACAUACAGGAGGGACAUCCCUUUUUGUAUCAAAGAUUUAUCGCUCGAAGAUGGGCUCGCGUCCGAUUAGGUAGUUGGUGAGGUAACGGCCCACCAAGCCGACGAUCGGUAGCCGGACUGAGAGGUUGAACGGCCACAUUGGGACUGAGACACGGCCCAGACUCCUACGGAAGGCAGCAG